RNAcentral lists this ribosomal RNA (373 nucleotides) under uncultured organism. RNAcentral's name for it is "partial 16S ribosomal RNA". It matches the Rfam family "Bacterial small subunit ribosomal RNA", at positions 527 to 896 of the family's 1533-position model. The record is from RNAcentral.
GUAGGUGGCAAGCGUUGUCCGGAAUUAUUGGGCGUAAAGCGCGCGCAGGCGGUCCUUUAAGUCUGAUGUGAAAGCCCACGGCUCAACCGUGGAGGGUCAUUGGGAACUGGGGGACUUGAGUACAGAAGAGGAAAGCGGAAUUCCAAGUGUAGCGGUGAAAUGCGUAGAGAUUUGGAGGAACACCAGUGGCGAAGGCGGCUUUCUGGUCUGUAACUGACGCUGAGGCGCGAAAGCGUGGGGAGCAAACAGGGAUUAGAUACCCUGGUAGUCCACGCCGUAAACGAUGAGUGCUAAGUGUUAGGGGGUUUCCCGCCCCUUAGUGCUGCAGCUAACGCAUUAAGCACUCCGCCUGGGGAGUACGGCCGCAAGGCUG